Molecule: ribosomal RNA, 591 nt
Filed under: uncultured Thalassobacter sp.
Lineage: Bacteria; Pseudomonadati; Pseudomonadota; Alphaproteobacteria; Rhodobacterales; Roseobacteraceae
Description: bacterial SSU rRNA
Rfam family: Bacterial small subunit ribosomal RNA
Source: RNAcentral
AGAGUUUGAUCAUGGCUCAGAACGAACGCUGGCGGCAGGCCUAAUACAUGCAAGUCGAGCGCGCCCUUCGGGGUGAGCGGCGGACGGGUGAGUAACGCGUGGGAAUAUGCCCUUCUCUAAGGAAUAGCCUCUGGAAACGGAGAGUAAUACCUUAUACGCCCUUUGGGGGAAAGAUUUAUCGGAGAAGGAUUAGCCCGCGUUAGAUUAGGUAGUUGGUGGGGUAAUGGCCUACCAAGCCUACGAUCUAUAGCUGGUUUGAGAGGAUAAUCAGCCACACUGGGACUGAGACACGGCCCAGACUCCUACGGGAGGCAGCAGUAGGGAAUCUUAGACAAUGGGGGCAACCCUGAUCUAGCCAUGCCGCGUGUGUGAUGAAGGCCCUAGGGUCGUAAAGCACUUUCGCCAGAGAUGAUAAUGACAGUAUCUGGUAAAGAAACCCCGGCUAACUCCGUGCCAGCAGCCGCGGUAAUACGGAGGGGGUUAGCGUUGUUCGGAAUUACUGGGCGUAAAGCGCACGUAGGCGGAUUAGUAAGUUAGAGGUGAAAUCCCAGGGCUCAACCCUGGAACUGCCUUUAAUACUGCUAGUCCUGA